Molecule: non-coding RNA, 297 nt
Organism: Heterocephalus glaber (naked mole-rat)
Lineage: Eukaryota; Metazoa; Chordata; Mammalia; Rodentia; Bathyergidae
Source: Rfam
GGAUGUGAGGGCGAUCUGGCUGCAACAUCUGUCACCCCACUGAUCACCAGGGCUGAUUUGGCUGACCUGGUUGGCCAGGCGGAUGUCCCCUUCCUCCCUCACCACUCCACAUGGGUCCUUCCUGAAGCUGUGCUCUUGGUCGAAGAGGACGACCACCCCGAUAGAGGAGAACUGUUUCCUCAGUCAAGGGUAUGUGGGUAGCUGCGCUCCUCUGCUAGAACCUCCAAAUAAGCUUUCAAGAAAAGUUUGAGUAAUUUUGCCUAAUUACAUAAUUUUGUUAAAAAACUUUUUUUUAAA